CAACUAGUAAUUAUGUUGGAAAGGUCAAAGCAGUGUAACUCAGUGCUACCCUGCAGAUGCCCAGGGACGGGCAUACCAUCAAGAGGGGAGGGUGUAACCCACAUAAAAUGGGGGUACCACUUUAAGGACUGAUAUGAGGAGAGAUGGACAGCCUGCCCAACCAAUCGAAAUGCACAGGUCCCAGUAUGUUUUGACCAAUGGGAGAGCAGUCUGCCGCUGUAUGUCCCACCUACGUGCUCUGUGUUUGCUGCUAUGCGUGGAGGUAGUCGCGUGCUGGCAGGAGAAAAGAGAGACUGAAGCUUUUGAGCUGGAAAAAAAGUAUUAGAUAUAAGUUGCAACCAACUGUGUUGCACAUAAGUUCACUGGUUAUCAGCUACCUUUCAUGUUAAAAGUAGCCACAGUGAGUAAGCAGGCAAAUGCUGCAUUUUUCUGGUGACUUUAAAAAGUACCGCGUGGAGCUAAACUGUUAGCCUUUGUUAGCUCUGGUUGCUAUCAACUGCCUGGAAGUUCAUCUCAAUCUGCUUCCAGAAAGCCCUGCAUUUUCCGACCGAGAGACACUAUGCCAUUGUCUUUGGCCGUGAUGCGCUGAGAUCGGUCAGGUUUUUUUUGUAUGCUGAAUUGUUCCUGAGGUGGAUUCCUCCGGUGAAAUAGAUGGCGAGCCUUCCCACCUGGACUUAGAGAGACUGAGAUUCGCUUCUUUUCCACUUGAUGAUCUGCUGCACCUUGCGGUGUGGUAGGACUGUAUCACUCACACUUUCACGCACAGCUGGUUAUACAUAAGACCACUGACUGACAUUCUUUCAUCCCUAUUUUCUUUCACACCCUAGGAAUUUUUUGGACUUUACCCCUUGGACAUUUUUUAUUUGGGACUUUAAAUAAUGAGCUGUUGUGUAGAGCAUUCUCCACAUGUGAAAAGAGUGUGAGAUUUUCAUUUGAAUGUACAUUGGAUUUGUGUAAUCUGUUUCUAUAAGAGUUAAGGAGUCAGGUUACUAGGGUGCACCCGAGCAUUGAAACCCAAACAUUGAAAACCAAAAAUAACACUUGGCCAAGUCAUUGCUUUAGUAGUUUGUGUUUUACUUUUCUUUUAAUUUUUGUAAGUUUCCUUUCUACCAUUGUAAAGUGUCUUUAACCUGUGCUUGUCAACCUUAUGGUUUAUGUCACUAAAGUUGGCUGGUUCUUUUGAGUUACAUUCUUGUCUCUGUGUCUCAUUUGAACACACCCCUGUGCUCCUAUAGUCGAGCCUAUUGGCCCAUUGAUAUAUUCUUUUCAACAAUUCCCCUUACUGUGUUACA
Molecule: long non-coding RNA, 1292 nt
Organism: Astatotilapia calliptera (eastern happy)
Lineage: Eukaryota; Metazoa; Chordata; Actinopteri; Cichliformes; Cichlidae
Source: Ensembl